Molecule: ribosomal RNA, 402 nt
Filed under: uncultured bacterium
Lineage: Bacteria
Description: bacterial SSU rRNA
Rfam family: Bacterial small subunit ribosomal RNA
Source: RNAcentral
AACGAACGCUGGCGGCGUGGAUUAGGCAUGCAAGUCGAACGUGAAAGGGGCUUCGGCCCUGAGUAAAGUGGCAAACGGGUGAGUAACGCGUGGAGAACCUGCCCGGAAGCGGGGGAUAACACUUCUAACGAGGUGCUAAUACCGCAUGUGUCUGCGUGAGCGCAUGCUCGCGCAGGUAAACGUGGCCUCUGCUCGCAAGCUACGGCUUCCGGAUGGCUCUGCGUCUCAUUAGCUAGUUGGUGGGGUAACGGCUCACCAAGGCGACGAUGGGUAGCUGGUCUGAGAGGAUGGUCAGCCACACUGGGACUGAGAUACGGCCCAGACUCCUACGGGAGCAGCAGUCGAGAGGCUUCCGCAAUGGGGAAACCCUGACGGAGCGACGCCGCGUGAGCGAUGAAGGCC